RNAcentral lists this ribosomal RNA (279 nucleotides) under Pseudomonas sp. LM2705. RNAcentral's name for it is "partial 16S ribosomal RNA". It matches the Rfam family "Bacterial small subunit ribosomal RNA", at positions 162 to 443 of the family's 1533-position model. The record is from RNAcentral. Lineage: Bacteria; Pseudomonadati; Pseudomonadota; Gammaproteobacteria; Pseudomonadales; Pseudomonadaceae.
GCUAAUACCGCAUACGUCCUACGGGAGAAAGCGGGGGACCUUCGGGCCUCGCGCCAUUAGAUGAGCCUAGGUCGGAUUAGCUAGUUGGUGAGGUAAUGGCUCACCAAGGCUACGAUCCGUAACUGGUCUGAGAGGAUGAUCAGUCACACUGGAACUGAGACACGGUCCAGACUCCUACGGGAGGCAGCAGUGGGGAAUAUUGGACAAUGGGCGAAAGCCUGAUCCAGCCAUGCCGCGUGUGUGAAGAAGGUCUUCGGAUUGUAAAGCACUUUAAGUUGG